Molecule: ribosomal RNA, 536 nt
Filed under: Schwanniomyces occidentalis
Lineage: Eukaryota; Fungi; Ascomycota; Pichiomycetes; Serinales; Debaryomycetaceae
Description: eukaryotic LSU rRNA
Rfam family: Eukaryotic large subunit ribosomal RNA
Source: RNAcentral
UAAGCGGAGGAAAAGAAACCAACAGGGAUUGCCUUAGUAACGGCGAGUGAAGCGGCAAAAGCUCAAAUUUGAAAUCUGGCACCUUCGGUGUCCGAGUUGUAAUUUGAAGAAGGUAACUUUGGGAUUGGCUCUUGUCUAAGUUCCUUGGAACAGGACGUCACAGAGGGUGAGAAUCCCGUGCGAUGAGAUGACCAAUCCUAUGUAAAGUGCUUUCGAAGAGUCGAGUUGUUUGGGAAUGCAGCUCUAAGUGGGUGGUAAAUUCCAUCUAAAGCUAAAUAUUGGCGAGAGACCGAUAGCGAACAAGUACAGUGAUGGAAAGAUGAAAAGAACUUUGAAAAGAGAGUGAAAAAGUACGUGAAAUUGUUGAAAGGGAAGGGCUUGAGAUCAGACUUGGUAUUUUGCAUUCCUUACCUUCGUGGUGGGGUUCCUUGCAGUUUACUGGGCCAGCAUCGGUUUGGAUGGUGGGAUAAUGACAUUGGAAUGUGGCUCUGCUUCGGUAGAGUGUUAUAGCCAGUGUUGAUACCGCCUGUCUAGAC